Molecule: ribosomal RNA, 301 nt
Filed under: uncultured bacterium
Lineage: Bacteria
Description: partial 16S ribosomal RNA
Rfam family: Bacterial small subunit ribosomal RNA
Source: RNAcentral
CAGUAGCCGCGGUAAUACGUAGGGUGCAAGCGUUAAUCGGAGUUACUGGGCGUAAAGCGUGCGUAGGUGGUGGUUUAAGUCCGUUGUGAAAGCCCUGGGCUCAACCUGGGAAUUGCAGUGGAUACUGGGUCACUAGAGUGUGGUAGAGGAUAGUGGAAUUUCCGGUGUAGCAGUGAAAUGCGUAGAGAUCGGAAGGAACAUCUGUGGCGAAGGCGACUAUCUGGGCCAACACUGACACUGAGGCACGAAAGCGUGGGGAGCAAACAGGAUUAGAUACCCCAGUAGUCCCUGUCUCUUAUAC